Molecule: ribosomal RNA, 467 nt
Filed under: uncultured bacterium
Lineage: Bacteria
Description: partial 16S ribosomal RNA
Rfam family: Bacterial small subunit ribosomal RNA
Source: RNAcentral
GACGAACGCUGGCGGCGUGCUUAACACAUGCCAGUCGAACGGAAAGGCCUCUUUCGGGGGGUACUCGAGUGGCGAACGGGUGAGUAACACGUGAGUAACCUGCCCUUGACUUUGGGAUAACUUCAGGAAACUGGGGCUAAUACCGGAUAGGAGCUCCUGCUGCAUGGUGGGGGUUGGAAAGUUUCGGCGGUUGGAGAUGGACUCGCGGCUUAUCAGCUUGUUGGUGGGGUAGUGGCUUACCAAGGCUUUGACGGGUAGCCGGCCUGAGAGGGUGACCGGCCACAUUGGGACUGAGAUACGGCCCAGACUCCUACGGGAGGCAGCAGUGGGGAAUAUUGCACAAUGGGUGGAAGCCUGAUGCAGCAACGCCGUGUGCGGGAUGACGGCCUUCGGGUUGUAAACCGCUUUCGCUCAUGACGAAGCUUUGUGUGACGGUAGUGGGUAAAGAAGCACCGGCUAACUACGUG